This 529-nucleotide ribosomal RNA is filed under the name uncultured bacterium. RNAcentral's name for it is "bacterial SSU rRNA". It matches the Rfam family "Bacterial small subunit ribosomal RNA", at positions 8 to 526 of the family's 1533-position model. The record is from RNAcentral.
AGACUUUGAUUCUGGCUCAGAUUGAACGCUAGCGGGAUGCUUUACACAUGCAAGUCGAACGGCAGCAUGAGAGAGCUUGCUCUCUUGAUGGCGAGUGGCGGACGGGUGAGUAAUGUAUCGGAACGUGCCCGGUAGUGGGGGAUAACUACGCGAAAGCGUAGCUAAUACCGCAUAUUCUCUACGGAGGAAAGAGGGGGAUCGUAAGACCUCUUGCUACCGGAGCGGCCGAUAUCAGAUUAGCUAGUUGGUGGGGUAACGGCCUACCAAGGCGGUGAUCUGUAGCUGGUUUGAGAGGACGACCAGCCACACUGGGACUGAGACACGGCCCAGACUCCUACGGGAGGCAGCAGUGGGGAAUUUUCGACAAUGGGGGGAACCCUGAUCGAGCCAUCUCGCGUGUGGGACGAAGGCCUUCGGGUUGUAAACCACUUUUCUCAACGAAGAAAAGUCUUAGGCUAAUACCUUAAGAUGCUGACGGUAGUUGAGGAAUAAGCACCGGCUAACUACGUGCCAGCAGCCGCGGUAAUAC